GCCCGGGUGGCGGAAUGGCAUACGCGGUGGACUCAAAAUCCACUGGUCGCAAGACCUUGAGAGUUCAAGUCUCUCCCCGGGCACCA
RNAcentral lists this transfer RNA (86 nucleotides) under Candidatus Sungiibacteriota bacterium. Its description in RNAcentral is "Candidatus Sungbacteria bacterium tRNA-Leu". It matches the Rfam family "tRNA". Rfam says of the family: Transfer RNA (tRNA) molecules are approximately 80 nucleotides in length. Lineage: Bacteria; Candidatus Sungiibacteriota. The record is from RNAcentral.